RNAcentral lists this ribosomal RNA (491 nucleotides) under uncultured bacterium. RNAcentral describes it as "partial 16S ribosomal RNA". It matches the Rfam family "Bacterial small subunit ribosomal RNA", at positions 29 to 506 of the family's 1533-position model. The record is from RNAcentral.
AGUGAACGCUGGCGGUAGGCCUAACACAUGCAAGUCGAACGGCAGCACAGUAAGAGCUUGCUCUUACGGGUGGCGAGUGGCGGACGGGUGAGGAAUACAUCGGAAUCUACUUUUUCGUGGGGGAUAACGUAGGGAAACUUACGCUAAUACCGCAUACGACCUACGGGUGAAAGCAGGGGAUCUUCGGACCUUGCGCGAUUGAAUGAGCCGAUGUCGGAUUAGCUAGUUGGCGGGGUAAAGGCCCACCAAGGCGACGAUCCGUAGCUGGUCUGAGGGGAUGAUCCGCCAACCUGGAACUGGGCGCGGGCCCAGCCCCCCACGGGGGGCAGCGGGGGGGAAUUUGGGAAAAGGGGGGCAACCCUGACCCAGCCAUCCCGGGUGGGUGAAGAAGGCCUUCGGGUUGAAAAGCCCUUUUGUUGGGAAAAAAAAGCAGCAGGUUAAUCCCCCGCUGUUCUGACGGUACCCAAAGAAAAAGCACCGGCAAACUUCGU